RNAcentral lists this ribosomal RNA (584 nucleotides) under uncultured bacterium. RNAcentral describes it as "partial 16S ribosomal RNA". It matches the Rfam family "Bacterial small subunit ribosomal RNA", at positions 355 to 937 of the family's 1533-position model. The record is from RNAcentral.
UGGGGAAUUUUGGACAAUGGGCGAAAGCCUGAUCCAGCAAUGCCGCGUGUGUGAAGAAGGCCUUCGGGUUGUAAAGCACUUUUGUCCGGAAAGAAAUCCUUGGCUCUAAUACAGUCGGGGGAUGACGGUACCGGAAGAAUAAGCACCGGCUAACUACGUGCCAGCAGCCGCGGUAAUACGUAGGGUGCAAGCGUUAAUCGGAAUUACUGGGCGUAAAGCGUGCGCAGGCGGUUUGCUAAGACCGAUGUGAAAUCCCCGGGCUCAACCUGGGAACUGCAUUGGUGACUGGCAGGCUAGAGUAUGGCAGAGGGGGGUAGAAUUCCACGUGUAGCAGUGAAAUGCGUAGAGAUGUGGAGGAAUACCGAUGGCGAAGGCAGCCCCCUGGGCCAAUACUGACGCUCAUGCACGAAAGCGUGGGGAGCAAACAGGAUUAGAUACCCUGGUAGUCCACGCCCUAAACGAUGUCAACUAGUUGUUGGGGAUUCAUUUCCUUAGUAACGUAGCUAACGCGUGAAGUUGACCGCCUGGGGAGUACGGUCGCAAGAUUAAAACUCAAAGGAAUUGACGGGGUCAUAGCUGUUCCU